RNAcentral lists this RNase P RNA (379 nucleotides) under Holophagae bacterium. RNAcentral describes it as "RNase P RNA component class A". It matches the Rfam family "Bacterial RNase P class A". Rfam says of the family: Ribonuclease P (RNase P) is a ubiquitous endoribonuclease, found in archaea, bacteria and eukarya as well as chloroplasts and mitochondria. Lineage: Bacteria; Pseudomonadati; Acidobacteriota; Holophagae. The record is from RNAcentral.
UGGAGGAGGCGGGCGUCCGCUGCGCUCGCACCGGGGCAGAGGAAGGUCCGGACUCCAGACGGGCAGCAUGCCGGGUAACACCCGGCCGCGGCAACGCGAGGGAAAGUGCCACAGAGAGCAGACCGCCCUCGGAUCCGACCGGGGGUAAGGGUGAAAGGGUGCGGUAAGAGCGCACCGCCUCUCCGGAGACGGAGAGGGCACGGUAAACCCCAUGCGGAGCAAGGCCGAAUAGGGGGGUCGAGGGUCGCCCGUCCCCGCCGUCCGCUGUCGCGGACGAGGCCCCCGGGUAGGCUGCUGGAGCCUCGCGGUGACGCGAGGUCGAGAGGAAUGGACGCCGCCCUUCGGGGAACAGAAUCCGGCCUACAGCCUCCUUCCGCCG